UGAGGAAUAUUGGUCAAUGGGCGGAAGCCUGAACCAGCCAAGUAGCGUGCAGGAUGACGGCCCUAUGGGUUGUAAACUGCUUUUGAAGGGGAGUAAAGUGAGUGACUAGUCAUUCAUUGCAAGUACCCUUGGAAUAAGGACCGGCUAAUUCCGUGCCAA
This 159-nucleotide ribosomal RNA is filed under the name uncultured bacterium. RNAcentral's name for it is "partial 16S rRNA". It matches the Rfam family "Bacterial small subunit ribosomal RNA", at positions 355 to 511 of the family's 1533-position model. The record is from RNAcentral.